GAUCCUGGCUCAGGAUGAACGCUAUCUACAGGCUUAACACAUGCAAGUCGAGGGGAAACGACAUCGAAAGCUUGCUUUUGAUGGGCGUCGACCGGCGCACGGGUGAGUAACGCGUAUCCAACCUGCCUACCACGUUGGGGAUAACCUUGCGAAAGUAAGACUAAUACCCAAUGACAUCCCACGAAGACAUCUGAAUGGGAUUAAAAGAUUUAUCGGUGAUGGAUGGGGAUGCGUCUGAUUAG
RNAcentral lists this ribosomal RNA (242 nucleotides) under uncultured bacterium. RNAcentral describes it as "partial 16S ribosomal RNA". It matches the Rfam family "Bacterial small subunit ribosomal RNA", at positions 15 to 244 of the family's 1533-position model. The record is from RNAcentral.